GGGCUUGUUGGAACCUUGUUUACAGCACAAGCUCUGUCUUGGUUUACUCCCUUGUUCGAGAAGCGAUCGCCAAUCCUGAGCAACUUUGAAACGUUCUUGGAGGCGUUUGCAGAAGCAUUUGGCGAGCAUGAUAAAGUUCGAUGGGCUACAACAAAGAUCCGAUCGCUACGACAAGGAACACGCUCUGCAUCAGUCUAUG
This 199-nucleotide long non-coding RNA is filed under the name Physcomitrium patens. Its description in RNAcentral is "long non-coding RNA (PPAT_LNC007006)". The record is from RNAcentral. Lineage: Eukaryota; Viridiplantae; Streptophyta; Bryopsida; Funariales; Funariaceae.